RNAcentral lists this ribosomal RNA (200 nucleotides) under uncultured bacterium. RNAcentral describes it as "partial 16S ribosomal RNA". It matches the Rfam family "Bacterial small subunit ribosomal RNA", at positions 8 to 222 of the family's 1533-position model. The record is from RNAcentral.
AGAGUUUGAUCCUGGCUCAGAAUCAACGCUGGCGGCGUGCCUAACACAUGCAAGUCGAGCGAGAAAGUGGAGCAAUCCAUGAGUAAAGCGGCGCACGGGUGAGUAACACGUGACUAACCUACCCUCGAGUGGGGAAUAACUUCGGGAAACCGAGGCUAAUACCGCAUAAUACCCACGGGUCAAAGGAGAAAUCCGCUUGA